CUUGCCGGAUGGGUAGUCGCCCCUGAUUCAGGGGAGGAAAGUCCGGUCUCCACAGGGCAGCGUGCCGGCUAACGGCCGGGGGGGUCCGCUCAAAGCGGGCUUUACGGAAAGUGCCACAGAAAAUAUACCGCCUUAGUGGUGGGACAGGCUUCAGCCUGUCACGACGGGUAGGGUUGAAGCCUGCCCCACCACUAGGGUAAGGGUGAAAUGGUGCGGUAAGAGCGCACCGCGGCCGGAGUAAUUCGGCUGGCAGGGCAAACCCCACGCGGAGCAAGACCAAAUAGGGGAGGAGGAGCGGCCCGCUCCGUUCGACUCUCGGGUAGGUCGCUAGAGCCACCUAGCAAUGGGUGGCCCAGAGGAAUGGCUGCCGCCCGCAAGGGUACAGAAACCGGCUUAUAAAUCCGGCAAGUUAC
Molecule: RNase P RNA, 413 nt
Filed under: Acidobacteriota bacterium
Lineage: Bacteria; Pseudomonadati; Acidobacteriota
Description: Acidobacteria bacterium RNase P RNA component class A
Rfam family: Bacterial RNase P class A
About the family: Ribonuclease P (RNase P) is a ubiquitous endoribonuclease, found in archaea, bacteria and eukarya as well as chloroplasts and mitochondria. Its best characterised activity is the generation of mature 5'-ends of tRNAs by cleaving the 5'-leader elements of precursor-tRNAs. Cellular RNase Ps are ribonucleoproteins.
Source: RNAcentral